This 352-nucleotide ribosomal RNA is filed under the name uncultured bacterium. RNAcentral's name for it is "bacterial SSU rRNA". It matches the Rfam family "Bacterial small subunit ribosomal RNA", at positions 29 to 361 of the family's 1533-position model. The record is from RNAcentral.
AGUGAACGCUGGCGGCGUGCUUAACACAUGCAAGUCGAACGCGAAAGGGGGAGCAAUCCCCGAGUAGAGUGGCGAACGGGUGAGUAAUGUGUGGGUAAUUUGCCUUUCAGCGGGGGAUAGCUCGGGGAAACCUGAGCUAAUACCCCAUAAUGUUGCUUGAUCUUCGGGUCGAGUAAUCAAACGAUGGCCUCUGCUUGCAAGCUAUCGCUGAAAGAUGAGCCCACAUCCUAUCACGCUUGUUGGUGGGGUAAUGGCCUACCAAGGCGACGACGGGUAGCCGGCCUGAGAGGGUGUACGGCCACACUGGCACUGACACACGGGCCAGACUCCUACGGGAGGCAGCAGUGGGGAA